UGAUAUGUUUGAUAUUGGGUUGUUAAAUUAUGAACCAACUGAAUGUCAAGCAUACUCUCA
RNAcentral lists this microRNA precursor (60 nucleotides) under Mus musculus (house mouse). RNAcentral's name for it is "Mmu-Mir-190-P3_pre stem-loop". The record is from RNAcentral. Lineage: Eukaryota; Metazoa; Chordata; Mammalia; Rodentia; Muridae.